CAUUGAAACACUGAUUCCCAUACAAUCACUGAAGUUAAGCAAUAUUGAGCCUAGUCAGUACUUAGAUGGGUAAUCUCUUAUGAAUACCCAGUGCUGUAA
This is a non-coding RNA of Acanthosepion pharaonis, 99 nucleotides long. Lineage: Eukaryota; Metazoa; Mollusca; Cephalopoda; Sepiida; Sepiidae. The record is from the annotation of a GenBank genome assembly.